Molecule: ribosomal RNA, 253 nt
Filed under: uncultured bacterium
Lineage: Bacteria
Description: partial 16S ribosomal RNA
Rfam family: Bacterial small subunit ribosomal RNA
Source: RNAcentral
UACGGAGGGUGCAAGCGUUAAUCGGAAUUACUGGGCGUAAAGCGCGCGUAGGCGGUCUGGUCAGUCGGAUGUGAAAGCCCUGGGCUUAACCUAGGAAUUGCAUUCGAUACUGCUCGACUAGAGUAUGGGAGAGGGAAGUGGAAUUUCCGGUGUAGCGGUGAAAUGCGUAGAUAUCGGAAGGAACACCAGUGGCGAAGGCGACUUCCUGGCCCAAUACUGACGCUCAGGUGCGAAAGCGUGGGUAGCAAACAGG